UCGCCUGUUUAUCAAAAACAUAGUUAUCAGAAGUUAUUAUAAUUUGUUCUGCUCAAUGAAUAUUAAAUAGCCGCAGUACUCUGACUGUGCAAAGGUAGCAUAAUCAUUUGGCUUAUAAUUGAAGUCUUGUAUGAAUGAAAUGAUGGGGGACAACUGUACUAUAUUGUAUAAAAUACCUGAGAAGUGCAAAUGCUUUUAUUUAAAUAAUAGACGAGAAGACCCUUGAUAGUAAAUUUUUGUUGGGGCAACGUAACAGAAAUUACAUGAACAUGAAAUAAAUAUAAAUUACUCUAGGGAUAACAGCGUAAUAUUAAAAUGUUUGCGACCUCGAUGUUCGAUUAGGAAACAAAAGC
This 353-nucleotide ribosomal RNA is filed under the name Basedowena elfina. Its description in RNAcentral is "partial 16S ribosomal RNA". The stretch from base 1 to 157 matches the Rfam family "Archaeal large subunit ribosomal RNA", at positions 1888 to 2096 of the family's 2987-position model. The record is from RNAcentral. Lineage: Eukaryota; Metazoa; Mollusca; Gastropoda; Stylommatophora; Camaenidae.